GUUUCCAAUGACCCUCCACGGUUGAGCCGUGGGCUUUCACAUCAGACUUAAAAACCGCCUACGCGCGCUUUACGCCCAAUAAUUCCGGAUAACGCUUGCCACCUACGUAUUACCGCGGCUGCUGGCACGUAGUUAGCCGUGGCUUUCUGGUUAAGAGGAGUGCUUAGCGCAAGCGAAGGUACGAAUUGAAGCCCCGGUGAACGGCGGCCGUAACUAUAACGGUCCUAAGGUAGCGAAAUUCCUUGUCGGGUAAGUUCCGACCCGCACGAAAGGCGUAACGAUUUGGGCACUGUCUCAACGAGAGGCUCGGUGAAAUCAUAGUACCUGUGAAGAUGCAGGUUACCCGCGACAGGACGGAAAGACCCCGUGGAGCUUUACUGUAAUUUGAUAUUGAAUCUUGACUCCACCUG
RNAcentral lists this ribosomal RNA (410 nucleotides) under uncultured Tetragenococcus sp. RNAcentral describes it as "bacterial LSU rRNA". It matches the Rfam family "Bacterial large subunit ribosomal RNA", at positions 1802 to 2136 of the family's 2925-position model. Lineage: Bacteria; Bacillati; Bacillota; Bacilli; Lactobacillales; Enterococcaceae. The record is from RNAcentral.